Molecule: ribosomal RNA, 497 nt
Filed under: uncultured bacterium
Lineage: Bacteria
Description: partial 16S ribosomal RNA
Rfam family: Bacterial small subunit ribosomal RNA
Source: RNAcentral
AUUGAACGCUGCGGCAUGCCUUACACAUGCAAGUCGAACGGUAACAGGUCUUCGGAUGCUGACGAGUGGCGAACGGGUGAGUAAUACAUCGGAACGUGCCUAGUAGUGGGGGAUAACUACUCGAAAGAGUGGCUAAUACCGCAUGAGAUCUACGGAUGAAAGCAGGGGAACGCAAGACCUUGUGCUACUAGAGCGGCCGAUGGCAGGUUAGGUAGUUGGUGGGAUAAAAGCUUACCAGGCCGACGAUCUGUAGCUGGUCUGAGAGGACGAUCAGCCACACUGGAACUGAGACACGGGCCAGACUCCUACGGGAGGCAGCAGUGGGGAAUAUCGGACAAUGGGCGCAAGCCUGAUCCAGCCAUACCGCGUGCAGGAUGAAGGCCUUCGGGUUGUAAACUGCUUUUGUACGGAACGAAAAGCCCCGGGUUAAUACCCUGGGGUCAUGACGGUACCGUAAGAAUAAGCACCGGCUAACUACGUGCCAGCCGCCGCAGUAA